This 460-nucleotide ribosomal RNA is filed under the name uncultured bacterium. RNAcentral's name for it is "partial 16S ribosomal RNA". It matches the Rfam family "Bacterial small subunit ribosomal RNA", at positions 338 to 795 of the family's 1533-position model. The record is from RNAcentral.
CCUACGGGAGGCAGCAGUGAGGAAUAUUGGUCACUGGACGAGAGUCUGAACCAGCCAAGUAGCGUGAAGGAUGACUGCCCUAUGGGUUGUAAACUUCUUUUAUAUGGGAAUAAAAUGUUCCACGUGUGGGAUUUUGUAUGUACCAUAUGAAUAAGGAUCGGCUAACUCCGUGCCAGCAGCCGCGGUAAUACGGAGGAUCCGAGCGUUAUCCGGAUUUAUUGGGUUUAAAGGGAGCGUAGGUGGAUUGUUAAGUCAGUUGUGAAAGUUUGCGGCUAAACCGUAAAAUUGCAGUUGAAACUGGCAGUCUUGAGUACAGUAGAGGUGGGCGGAAUUCGUGGUGUAGCGGUGAAAUGCUUAGAUAUCACGAAGAACUCCGAUUGCGAAGGCAGUUCACUGGACUGCAACUGACACUGAGGCUCGAAAGUGUGGGUAUCAAACAGGAUUAGAUACCCGUGUAGUC